GAUGAAGAACGCAGCGAAAUGCGAUAAGUAGUGUGAAUUGCAGAAUUCAGUGAAUCAUCGAAUCUUUGAACGCACAUUGCGCCCCUUGGUAUCCCGAGGGGCAUGCCUGUUCGAGCGUCAUUAUCACCCCUCAAGCUUUGCUUGGUGUUGGGGCCUGCUGUAAUAGGCAGCCCUUAAAAUCAGUGGCGGUGCUUCAAGGCUCUAAGCGUAGUAAUUCUCCUCGCUAUAGUGUCUAGUGGUUGCCAGCCAGAACCCCCCAAUUUUCAUGAUUGACCUCGGAUCAGGUAGGGAUACCCGCUGAACUUAAGCAUAUCAAUAAGCAGGA
RNAcentral lists this unclassified non-coding RNA (325 nucleotides) under soil metagenome. RNAcentral describes it as "partial contains 5.8S ribosomal RNA, internal transcribed spacer 2, and large subunit ribosomal RNA". The stretch from base 1 to 120 matches the Rfam family "5.8S ribosomal RNA", at positions 35 to 154 of the family's 154-position model. The record is from RNAcentral.